AAACUCUGGAGAACUCCAUUAAAUUGGAUACCGAAGGUGCAAGGCUCGUUCAGGGCUGAAACUCUCAGGUAAAAAGACAGAGCU
RNAcentral lists this non-coding RNA (84 nucleotides) under Anaerovibrio slackiae. RNAcentral's name for it is "Glycine riboswitch". It matches the Rfam family "Glycine riboswitch aptamer", at positions 7 to 88 of the family's 94-position model. Rfam says of the family: This family represents the bacterial glycine riboswitch. Glycine riboswitches usually consist of two metabolite-binding aptamers domains with similar structures in tandem. The record is from RNAcentral. Lineage: Bacteria; Bacillati; Bacillota; Negativicutes; Selenomonadales; Selenomonadaceae.